Molecule: long non-coding RNA, 2368 nt
Filed under: Malus domestica (apple)
Lineage: Eukaryota; Viridiplantae; Streptophyta; Magnoliopsida; Rosales; Rosaceae
Description: long non-coding RNA (MDOM_LNC015896)
Source: RNAcentral
GGUGGUGGAAGAGGAGGUGGCAUUUCAUCUCUUUGAGUUGGAUUCUCCUCAUCUCUCAAAUUAGGCACCCCUAAAAUUAUUAUGGCUAUCAAAUCGAACUAAAUUAUUUUGGCUAACCAAUUGUGAGGUUUAUCGGCUAACCAAGUACUUCAAGUUAUUAGUUACCUUUCAGGCACAACUGAGGAAAACCACCUAACUGAUGCUCACCGAGCAAAAGAAAGGGUCCAAAUAUUCCAUUGCCAACUAUGUGUCAUCACAUAAGUUAUCGAAACCUGGCAAAGCUUUCGUACAACAAAUAUCCACUGAUAAUACUCCGAGUUCCUUGAAGGAAGCAUUAUUUGAUGCUUGAUGGACCAAGGCAAUGGAAGAAGAAAUGGAUGCACUUCAUAAGAAUCAAACGUGGACUUCGGUUCCGUUGUACAAAGCUAAUGUGUCUAUUGAGAGGUACAAGCCACGAUUGGUCAAGUGAUGAAUUAUGUAAUCAAGUGAUGAAAUUAAUGACAGUGCAUGAGCACAAUGCAAUACUCUUCAUCUACACCCGCUAAUUCAUAUAACUAAAUAAUCAGACCUCGUAUGUCGCAUUUUGUACUUAUACCAAUUGGUCCCGAGUGAGUAAUUAUAUGAACUAACGCCUAUAACUCGUCAUCCCAAUUUCCCCUUUUGUUAGCCGUCUUGCCAAAACCCUUUUGUCGUCAAUCCCGAAUUACCCUAAAAGAAAUUGUUGGCUCGCCUGAGACUUGGUACCUACUAAGAGUUUGGCUCAACUACACAAAGGAUCCUUUCCAACUACCCUCAUUUCCAAUUCCUUUCUCAACGUCGUAACUCCAACCACAUGACACAUUAUGAAUGAUUUCACAAAUACUUUGAAUUCAGCAUUUACAUAUACCACAGUAUAUUCUCAACCAAGAGUAAUUCCAUAGACAAUAGCAAACAACGAUCCAACAAAACAAUGAUGUACACAUUUCCAAGUAACACUCAACAAGAAUUAUAGACGAAUGAGAUCAACAAUAAUAAUAGUAUUUCAUGAAAUUUAAUAAAAUCAAUCUAUGUAAAGGUCUGCCGUAUUUCCUCUACCUAGAUUCCAAACCAUUGCUCUGAGUUAGUAACAAAAGGCACCACCACCUUGGUCAGUACCUAUUUCACAAGUAUAAACAUAUCACUAAAUGCAUGACAUGAACUAAUCCGAAUAGAAUUACUUAAUAAGCUACAAAUUCCGCAUAACUCGGAUCAAAUAACACUUCUGUACCAUGUAAAAUAGAUUUGCCAUAAUAGAAGAAACGAUUGAAUAAAGUAAGCUUAAAUAGGAUUUAACUUAUAGAUAUAUAAAAGCUUUAUCAAUAUUACAAAUAAUGUAAUCCAAAUAAUAGCAUAAAACUAUAUAUAUUGUAGACAUAAAAAUAUAAUUGGCAAAGGUAUUAUGUAUAUCAGCUUUAACGUUCAAUCAAAAUAGAUUUUCUUUUUAAAACUAAUUAGUUAGUAUAUCAAGUGUAAUAUAUAUAUAAAUAACUAAAACCAAACUACCUUAGAAGUGAAAGUAGGCAUAUACAAGUAAAUAGAGUGCUAUGGUGAAAACUCGAGUAAAUUGUAGCAAUGGUCCCUCAACUUUAACUCAAUUGGAGCAAUAGUCCCUCAACUAAAAGUUCAUUAUCAUUGGUCCCUCAACUAAAAAUUUAUUACCAUUGGUCCCUCAACCUUAAUCCAACUGGAGAAAUGGUCCAUUAACUUUAACUCAAUUCGAGCAAUGGUCCCUCAACUUUAACCCAAUUGUAGCAAUGGUCUAUCCAACAUAAUUCGUUUUGACAAAAUUCUAACGAAGUUGACGAAAAGGACCAUAGCUACACGUUUUGAUGAGUUAAGGGACCACAAUUGUACUAACGGUCCUUCCAACAUAACUCAUUUUGACAAAAUUUUGAUUAAGUUAAUGAAAAUGACCAUAGCUACCCAUUUUGAUGAGUUGAAGGACUAAUGGUAAUGAAUUUUUAGUUUAUCGACCAUUGCUCCAAUUUGAUUAAAAUUAAGGGACUAUUGCUACAAUUUACUCUGAAAACUCCAUUGGUUUAGAUCAAGUAUGUAUAAAUAGAUGGAUCAUAAUCAAUAAGAAUUUUUAUAUUCUUUGAACAAAAACUGAAAUAGUAUUGCUUAAUACCAAUCUAAUCGAAUUGAACUUGUGAAAGGACAUAUUUUAUAAAAGGUGCUAAAUACAUAACAGCUAAGCCCUAAUAUCAGAACAGAAUUCAAUAUACAUCUAACACUAAUGUCUUGUGGUCUCUAGUUUAAUUCAACCGCAAGACUAAAGAUAAGCCUACAUCCUCCAUCCUCAACAGAUCAAAGGAAAAUAGUAAGUGACGAUCACCUUACCUCACUUGUU